RNAcentral lists this ribosomal RNA (253 nucleotides) under uncultured prokaryote. RNAcentral describes it as "partial 16S ribosomal RNA". It matches the Rfam family "Bacterial small subunit ribosomal RNA", at positions 525 to 777 of the family's 1533-position model. The record is from RNAcentral.
ACGGGGGGUGCGAGCGUUGUCCGGAAUCACUGGGCGUAAAGGGCGCGUAGGUGGCUUUGUAAGUUUGCGGUGAAAGCCCGGGGCUCAACCCCGGGUCUGCCGUGAAUACUGCAAGGCUUGAGUACUGUAGAGGCAGGUAGAAUAUCGGGUGUAGCGGUGGAAUGCGUAGAGAUCCGAUAGAAGACCGGUGGCGAAGGCGGCCUGCUGGGCAGUAACUGACACUGAGGCGCGACAGCGUGGGGAGCAAACAGGA